AGUGGCGGGCGGGUGAGUAACGCGUGGGUAACCUGCCUCAUACAGGGGGAUAACAGUUAGAAAUGACUGCUAAUACCGCAUAAGACCACAGCACCGCAUGGUGCAGGGGUAAAAACUCCGGUGGUAUGAGAUGGACCCGCGUCUGAUUAGGUAGUUGGUGGGGUAACGGCCUACCAAGCCGACGAUCAGUAGCCACCUGAGAGGGUGACCGGCCACAUUGGGACUGAGACACGGCCCAA
Molecule: ribosomal RNA, 239 nt
Filed under: uncultured bacterium
Lineage: Bacteria
Description: partial 16S ribosomal RNA
Rfam family: Bacterial small subunit ribosomal RNA
Source: RNAcentral